This 497-nucleotide ribosomal RNA is filed under the name uncultured bacterium. RNAcentral's name for it is "partial 16S ribosomal RNA". It matches the Rfam family "Bacterial small subunit ribosomal RNA", at positions 28 to 507 of the family's 1533-position model. The record is from RNAcentral.
GAUGAACGCUGGCGGCGUGCCUAAUACAUGCAAGUCGAGCGAACGGACGAGAAGCUUGCUUUUCUGAUGUUAGCGGCGGACGGGUGAGUAACACGUGGAUAACCUACCUAUAAGACUGGGAUAACUUCGGGAAACCGGAGCUAAUACCGGAUAAUAUUUUGAACCGCAUGGUUCAAAAGUGAAAGACGGUCUUGCUGUCACUUAUAGAUGGAUCCGCGCUGCAUUAGCUAGUUGGUAAGGUAACGGCUUACCAAGGCAACGAUGCAUAGCCGACCUGAGAGGGUGAUCGUCCACACUGGAACUGAGACACGGUCCAGACUCCUACGGGAGGCAGCAGUAGGGAAUCUUCCGCAAUGGGCGAAAGCCUGACGGAGCAACGCCGCGUGAGUGAUGAAGGUCUUCGGAUCGUAAAACUCUGUUAUUAGGGAAGAACAUAUGUGUAAGUAACUGUGCACAUCUUGACGGUACCUAAUCAGAAAGCCACGGCUAACUACGUG